Molecule: ribosomal RNA, 1499 nt
Filed under: Salmonella enterica
Lineage: Bacteria; Pseudomonadati; Pseudomonadota; Gammaproteobacteria; Enterobacterales; Enterobacteriaceae
Description: bacterial SSU rRNA
Rfam family: Bacterial small subunit ribosomal RNA
Source: RNAcentral
AGGCCUAACACAUGCAAGUCGAACGGUAACAGGAAGCAGCUUGCUGUUUCGCUGACGAGUGGCGGACGGGUGAGUAAUGUCUGGGAAACUGCCUGAUGGAGGGGGAUAACUACUGGAAACGGUGGCUAAUACCGCAUAACGUCGCAAGACCAAAGAGGGGGACCUUCGGGCCUCUUGCCAUCAGAUGUGCCCAGAUGGGAUUAGCUUGUUGGUGAGGUAACGGCUCACCAAGGCGACGAUCCCUAGCUGGUCUGAGAGGAUGACCAGCCACACUGGAACUGAGACACGGUCCAGACUCCUACGGGAGGCAGCAGUGGGGAAUAUUGCACAAUGGGCGCAAGCCUGAUGCAGCCAUGCCGCGUGUAUGAAGAAGGCCUUCGGGUUGUAAAGUACUUUCAGCGGGGAGGAAGGUGUUGUGGUUAAUAACCGCAGCAAUUGACGUUACCCGCAGAAGAAGCACCGGCUAACUCCGUGCCAGCAGCCGCGGUAAUACGGAGGGUGCAAGCGUUAAUCGGAAUUACUGGGCGUAAAGCGCACGCAGGCGGUCUGUCAAGUCGGAUGUGAAAUCCCCGGGCUCAACCUGGGAACUGCAUUCGAAACUGGCAGGCUUGAGUCUUGUAGAGGGGGGUAGAAUUCCAGGUGUAGCGGUGAAAUGCGUAGAGAUCUGGAGGAAUACCGGUGGCGAAGGCGGCCCCCUGGACAAAGACUGACGCUCAGGUGCGAAAGCGUGGGGAGCAAACAGGAUUAGAUACCCUGGUAGUCCACGCCGUAAACGAUGUCUACUUGGAGGUUGUGCCCUUGAGGCGUGGCUUCCGGAGCUAACGCGUUAAGUAGACCGCCUGGGGAGUACGGCCGCAAGGUUAAAACUCAAAUGAAUUGACGGGGGCCCGCACAAGCGGUGGAGCAUGUGGUUUAAUUCGAUGCAACGCGAAGAACCUUACCUGGUCUUGACAUCCACGGAAGUUUUCAGAGAUGAGAAUGUGCCUUCGGGAACCGUGAGACAGGUGCUGCAUGGCUGUCGUCAGCUCGUGUUGUGAAAUGUUGGGUUAAGUCCCGCAACGAGCGCAACCCUUAUCCUUUGUUGCCAGCGAUUAGGUCGGGAACUCAAAGGAGACUGCCAGUGAUAAACUGGAGGAAGGUGGGGAUGACGUCAAGUCAUCAUGGCCCUUACGACCAGGGCUACACACGUGCUACAAUGGCGCAUACAAAGAGAAGCGACCUCGCGAGAGCAAGCGGACCUCAUAAAGUGCGUCGUAGUCCGGAUUGGAGUCUGCAACUCGACUCCAUGAAGUCGGAAUCGCUAGUAAUCGUGGAUCAGAAUGCCACGGUGAAUACGUUCCCGGGCCUUGUACACACCGCCCGUCACACCAUGGGAGUGGGUUGCAAAAGAAGUAGGUAGCUUAACCUUCGGGAGGGCGCUUACCACUUUGUGAUUCAUGACUGGGGUGAAGUCGUAACAAGGUAACCGUAGGGGAACCUGCGGUUGGAUCACCUCCUUA